AGACAACUGGGAACUCGGAAAAAAACGAGAUCAAAUCGUCCGUGAUCAUAAGGUCGGAAAUUCGGAGCUAUAAAAAGAGGCACAAAUUCCUGACUUGGAAUUCGGAUUUGGAUGACCGUUCAAACUAACUUUCCCAGUCGGAGCUCGUUUUUUCCGAGUUCCCUGUUAUCGUGAACGCAUUGCCGGCGAUUUCCGAGCUCCAGUUGGAGCGCUUCUGUUGGGAUGACGUUUGUUGUCUCCUCUUCAAAAAGCGUGUCCACUCCUACAACCCGUCCUAGUACGCCAUACUCCGACACUGAUCAUUUAUUAGUCUAGUCAUUUGUUUUGAGUUUGAGAGGAGAAAUGAUGAUGAUGAUCAAGUCUGGGUCUGAGGCUCCCAUUCAAUCAGAGGAGAGCGAGACGCAGAAGCAUGGAUUUGGGAAAUGGUUUCCAGAAACGCACAGACCAUGUAGCACACUCAGAAAACGAUGGGGGCUACAUUUCAACAGAUCCUUGCAAUAUCACCGAGUGGACCAAUGUUCCCAAGGCAGUUGAUCUGCCAAACACACCUCUGACGGCUUCUCCCUGUGCUGACCACCGAUGGACCUUACACAUGAGAACUGCCGUUGAUGGGCUCCUGGCCAAGCAACACAGGGAGAAAGACAUCCUGACGCGGGUGGAUGGGACAUACAGCUCUACCACCAGUGUCAUGACUGUGUCAUUAGCUGCCACAGCUAAACUAAUUUACUAAUGUUUACUGCACCAUAUAGUAUUUUUUUUUUUCUCUCCAUACAAGAUCUAGGGCAACUGUGCCUCAGUGGUUGGCUAAGCUCCUUCCUGGUUGGCCCUGUCCGUUGAACAGCACCAGUGUCUCACAACUCCUCUGUCUCAGUCACCAGUAAUUAUGCUGCAAUAGUUUGUGCCAGGGGCUAGGGUCAUUUUUUUCUUAUCUGGUGUACUGUGUGUUCUUAGGCAUACUCCCACUAAUCCCCCACAUUUGUCAAUAACAGCUUCGACACAUCAUAGCAACAUGCUUGACUGAAAAUCUUUAAACAUGUAUAUAGACUAAGGUGGAGGCUGCUGAGGGGAGGGCGGCUCAUAAUAAUGGCUGGAAUGGAGUCAAUGGAAUGGUAUCAAAUGUGAUUUCCAUGUGGUUGAUACCAUUCCAUUGAAUCCAUUACUGUGAGCCGUCCUCCUCUCAGCAGCCUCCACUGAUAGACUUUAUGGGGGUGAUGCUGUUGCCCAUCAAAUUUCAUAUAUUAUGUCAAAGUUCUCAAUUAGGAAGAUGAUGUUCAGAAUGACAUGUUCAUGACUGUUGAUGUUUACAGGACUCUCCAAUGCUAUGUUGAAUGAGCACCAGAGAGGGAGGGAGAGGGAAAACAGAUAGCUUCUCGCUACCACACCUUCACCAAGUCAUCCAAUUUUUGCUUCAUUUUCUAAAAUAAAUACAGAAUUAAUUUUAGUUCUAAUAGUUUUUUAGGCUAGAUGUGAGUUAAUUUAGCAGGUCUAUAUUGUUUUGGAAUGUUAUUAAAUAUAUACUCAGUCACAAGUCAUUGCCUUUUAAAAUAUUUGCUGAAACAGUCAUUGGUUUUGGGCUAUGAUCUGUAAAUGUCUACGACCCUUUUUAAAAAGUUGAGUGAAAUGAUUUGUUUUGCUACUGUCUGGUGAGGAAGUGGGCAAUAUGUAAUCAGUUUAUGGAUGUAUAAAUGGAGGGCAUCUGUAAAAGACAUGGACAACGUCAGGAAAUAAGCAGGUAAAUGUAGAGGUUGUCAAUGACCAACGGUGCAGAGAAAUAAUAUAUAUAUAUAUAUAUAUAUAUAUAGUAUGUAUGUGGACACCCCUUCAAAUUAGUGGUUUCAGCUAUUUCAGCCACACCUGUUGCUGACAGGUGUAUAAAAUUGAGCACACCGUCAUGCAAUCUCCAUAGACAAACAUUGGCAGUAGAAUGGCCUUACUGAAGAGCUGUGACUUUCGACGUGGCACUGUCAUAGGAUGGCAAGUCCAACAAGUCCGUUUGUAAAAUGUCUGCCCUAGUCAACUGUAAGUGCUGUUAUUGUGAAGUGGAAACAUCUAGGAGCAACAACGGCUUAGUCAUGAAGUGGUAGGACACAAGCUCACAUAACGGGACCGCCGAGUGCUGAAGCGAGAAAAAAUUGUCUGUCCUCGGUUGCAACACUUACUACCAAGUUCCAAACUGCCUCUGGAAGCAACGUCAGCACAAGAACUGUUCGUCGGGAGCUUCAUGAAAUGGGCUUCCAUGGCCGAGCAGCUGCACACAAGCUUUAGAUCACUGCCAUUGGAUUCUGGAGCAGUGUAAAUUCGUUCUCUGGAGUGAUGAAUCACGCUUCACCAUCUGGCAGUCCGACGGACAAAUGUGGGUUUGGCGGAUACCAGGAGAACGCUACCUGCCAGAAUGCAUAGUGCCAACUGUAAAGUUAGGUGGAGGAGGAAUAAUGGUCUGGGGCUGUUUAUCAUGAUUCAUGCUUGGUCUCUUAGUUCCAGUGACGGAAAUCUUAAUGCUACAGCAUAAAAUGACAUUCUAUACGAUUCUUUCCAACUUUGUGGCUCCUGUUUCAACAUGACAAUGCCCACGUGUACAAGCCAGGUCCAUACAGAAAUGGUUUGUCGAGAUCGGUGUAGAACUUUACUGGCCUGCACAGAGCCCUGACCUCAACUCCAUCGAACACCUUUGGUAUGAAUUGGAAUGCGGACUGAGAGUCAAGCCUAAUUGCCCAACAUCAGUGCCCGGCCUAACUGGCUGAAUUGAAGCAAGUCCCCGCAUCAGUGUUCCAGAGUGGAGGCUGUUAUAGCAGCGAAGUCCAUGACUUUGGAAUGAGAAAUUCGACGAGCAGGAGUCCACUUACUUUUGGUCAUGUAGUGUAUGUUAGCUGGACGUGGCUAGCUAGCUGUUUUCAAAACAUUGGACCAACUUGAGCAAUGAGAUCCCAGCUUGCUACUGUAGAUAGCGUAGCCUAACCAAAUAUACACCUUAGAAAACAAUUUAGUAAAAUACUGUUAGCUUCAACUAACAUAACAAGUACAUAGACCUAUUUCUCUGUAAAACAACGUUAGAUCCAGUCUGACAUUAGCCAGAAGGUUCUGAUUCUAGCUAGCAUCAGCUUUGUAGUGGUUAUACUAUGUUGAAACACUCAUUUUAAAAAUGUUUUCCACAAGCGUAUUGCUGUAGAUUUUAAAUUCUGUAAAUGUAAUUUAGCAAUUUUAACAAAAUCUCCUGUUGGCUGCCUGACAUCGCACCCGAAACGGCUUCCCCGGUAUGAAGAGCGGUUGGAACUUUCGAGCGUGGAAUGUGCAUUGGAGGGUAAUGCAUCCUUCUCUUUACAUGUCCUUAUAAUUCGAAAGAUUGCUCAGAAAACCAGGUGUUUUAAACGGCGUAUGCCUUACGAUUAUUAACAUAAUCAGAGUAAGGUGUUUACAUGGCUAAUUACAUACUCGGCCAUCUGUCAUAAUCAGUUUAAUAUCGAUUUUUUUUUGGUGAAUCGUUUCAUGAACAUUGUGCAGUACUGUACUCGGCCUCUAGGAUGUGUCAUUGACUCACAUUAGGUCCUUAGGCGCACACUGCGUCCAUACG
RNAcentral lists this long non-coding RNA (3568 nucleotides) under Salmo trutta (river trout). Its description in RNAcentral is "lncRNA (ENSSTUG00000017387.1)". The record is from RNAcentral. Lineage: Eukaryota; Metazoa; Chordata; Actinopteri; Salmoniformes; Salmonidae.